This 153-nucleotide unclassified non-coding RNA is filed under the name uncultured Capnodiales. Its description in RNAcentral is "sequence contains ITS2". The record is from RNAcentral. Lineage: Eukaryota; Fungi; Ascomycota; Dothideomycetes; Capnodiales.
CACCACUCAAGCCUCGCUUGGUAUUGGGUGCCGCGGUGACCCUGUCCCGCGCGCCUCAAAGACUUCGGCCGAGCUUUUCAGACUCUCAGCGUUGUGGAAACUUUUCGCUAAGCAGAUUUGAAGGCCCGUCGCCGUUAAACACCUUAUAUUACA